UGGUCCUCGGUAGUGGCCUUCGGGUGCCGAAUCUCCCGCGGGUCUCGAUCGAAGACCGG
Molecule: non-coding RNA, 59 nt
Filed under: uncultured Arachnia sp.
Lineage: Bacteria; Bacillati; Actinomycetota; Actinomycetes; Propionibacteriales; Propionibacteriaceae
Description: Actino-pnp RNA
Rfam family: Actino-pnp RNA
Source: RNAcentral